Molecule: ribosomal RNA, 497 nt
Filed under: uncultured bacterium
Lineage: Bacteria
Description: partial 16S ribosomal RNA
Rfam family: Bacterial small subunit ribosomal RNA
Source: RNAcentral
GAUGAACGCUGGCGGCGUGCCUAAUACAUGCAAGUCGAGCGAACAGACGAGGAUCUUGCUCCUCUGACGUUAGCGGCGGACGGGUGAGUAACACGUGGAUAACCUACCUAUAAGACUGGGAUAACUUCGGGAAACCGGAGCUAAUACCGGAUAACAUGUUGAACCGCAUGGUUCAACAGUGAAAGACGGUCUUGCUGUCACUAAUAGAUGGAUCCGCGCCGCAUUAGCUAGUUGGUAAGGUAACGGCUUACCAAGGCUACGAUGCGUAGCCGACCUGAGAGGGUGAUCGGCCACACUGGAACUGAGACACGGUCCAGACUCCUACGGGAGGCAGCAGUAGGGAAUCUUCCGCGAUGGGCGAAAGCCUGACGGAGCAACGCCGCGUGAGUGAAGAAGGUCUUCGGAUCGUAAAACUCUGUUAGUAGGGAAGAACAAAUGUGUAAGUAACUAUGCACGUCUUGACGGUACCUAAUCAGAAAGCCACGGCUAACUACGUG